ACUGGUGAUGCGAUUGGUGUUGCUGUUGCGACCCAUCAACCAAGAAUCCACUAGCGGACGAAGAUGAUGCUGGAGACGGUGAAAUAGUUAAAUGCUGCUGUUGUUGGUGGAUGGGGGAAGAUGCCGUCGAUGAUGACGAGGUGAUGUGCCAGCAAGUUGCGACGGAUGAACUUGGUGAUGCGCGUUGUUACUUUGCUGCUGAUGGCCGACAUUGUGGUUUUGCGAAUGUUGCGAAGUUGUUCCCAGAUUCGUCGGAUACAUCCGAUAUCCGCCUAAACAGGAGGAAAGAAGGAAGCCCCUCCACUGGAAUAAUUUGCAGUCGUCGAGGACGACGUUCUCGACGUCGAUGUCAAUGGUGAAGUUGGCGAUAAAGAAGUAAAUCCGUUGCCAUGGAAACAUCCUCCACCUCCUCCACCGAAUAAUGAAACUGCCGUUGUUAAAGCGUUGCUAUUGGAUGAUGACGUCGGCAUGCCGGACGAUGUUGCACCUCCGCCUAAGAGGCUCAACGAAGACGACGGGGUGGCCGAAUUGUAUCGUUGAUGAUGCGAUCCAUAAAGAUGUGAUGAAAGAGAUGAGGCCAAUGAAGAGGAAGAAUGUAACAAAGUCGACGAUGAAGAUGAUGAUGGAGAUGGCGAUGGAGCCGGGAGUAAAUUAAAUUAAGCCGAGAUUGAUUCACGAAACACAACGACGCACACGCAAUCAAGUAUUUUUCGCUCUUUCUUCGUCUCCCGAGCGAGAGCAGCCGAAACGAGGAAGAAUGGAAGAAAAUGUUGUCUACAGCACACACCCACUCGAGAGAAAUGUUUGAAUUCGAUUAGCCAAAACUCGUUUAACGCUUCAAGGUGGCUGCCACGAGUCUACUUUGAGCUAGUUGUAUACUGUUCAAGCGCUGUCAGAUUGGCACCAUAUUCAAUUAUAGCCGCAGCCGCCGCCGAUGAUACAGAAAAGCUAAUGCAAUAAUGAAAUCAAGUUAAGCAAGCGCUGAUCUGGUUGAGAGCGAAAGGGGGGCGAGACUGAAAAAUACCUGUUGUUAUACUCUUUUCUAUAUAGGACCUGCCUGGCCGAAGCUAACUAGCUUCCAAACUGCGCAGACGGACAAACGAGGGCGAACACACAAGCUGCUUCAACGGGUGGACAACAACAGCCGCUAAAUUCCUCUUAUCGGCCUUAAUUCAAUCAACUCUUCCGUCCCUGCCGCACUAUAUCCUCACCAUGUAUAGACACAAGACACCCUUCCGAUCCAGGAUACAAACUCCGCCCCCUUUUUCCCUUAUUCUCUUCGGAGCGGAACUCGAAUUCUUCUUCUUUUGGGACAGCCAGCACCAAUCCGCAGCUAGGGGGCGGUUUUCUUCGUCCGGAUUGGACCAGCACAUGUCCGGAUUUUGUGGAAGGGGGGUUUCUAAUCGGCGCAGAUCUCAUCGUGCGUGAGAUAGCCUACUAACAAAGCUCAGGCUUAAACGAUGGCCGGUCAGUGAACGCGUGCAAACAUCUCGCUAAACUGCUCAAGACUAGAAUCGUGUAGCUGAUAACACGCAAGGAAGGCUCGAAUCCAAAACUUUCUAUUGCAAAGUGGGGGUGAAACAAGUUUAUCUUUAUGAUUGUCUUUAAACUUUUUCACAGGUGAUUUUCUAUGGAUACCUUUGCGAGGUUGUAUGAGAGGAAAAUGUGUUUCAUUGGAAAGGAAUUUGUUUGUCAUUUUUAAUGUCAACUGUACUUUCGGUGGCCCUACGUUAAAAACUGACUCAAGGCAUUCUACAUCUGCGGACAAAUGAGAAUCUGAGGAAAUUGUUUUGUGGUUUUCCCGGUCGGUGGAUAUCACAAGUGUUAUUCUGUGCUGUUAUCAUAAUAGUUGGCAAAAAGUUUUGCGACAUUGUUUAAAUGAAGCAUUCGUCGAAGUUUAACAUUCAAAGAGUGCUCGCGUCAAAAAACUGAGCAUUAAAUUAAUGAUAAAAGUUUCAUAACGUGCAAUUUCACUAUUUCUUAUUUGUUUUCUUCUGCAUAGACUUAUACUUACAAUCAUGUAUUCCAUACAUUGUCUCGUCAAUUGUGUGGCUUUUGACAUUUCGUGUGAUCAAUUAGCCAUUGUAGGUAGCUGGUAAGGAGUGGGAAACGCCUCAAUCUUGUAUUUUU
Molecule: long non-coding RNA, 2130 nt
Organism: Daphnia carinata
Lineage: Eukaryota; Metazoa; Arthropoda; Branchiopoda; Diplostraca; Daphniidae
Exons: 6
Source: RefSeq, a predicted model, not a curated record